UGGGGAAUUGUUCGCAAUGGGCGCAAGCCUGACGACGCAACGCCGCGUGGAGGAUGAAGGUCUUCGGAUUGUAAACUCCUGUUGAUCGGGACGAACAACCAUCGGGAUAACACCACGGAGGUCUGACGGUACCGAUUGAGGAAGCCCCGGCUAACUCUGUGCCAGCAGCCGCGGUAAUACGGAGGGGGCUAGCGUUGUUCGGAAUUACUGGGCGUAAAGCGCGCGUAGGCGGCUUUGUAAGUUAGAGGUGAAAGCCCGGAGCUCAACUCCGGAACUGCCUUUAAGACUGCAUCGCUAGAAUCGUGGAGAGGUGAGUGGAAUUCCGAGUGUAGAGGUGAAAUUCGUAGAUAUUCGGAAGAACACCAGUGGCGAAGGCGACUCACUGGACACGUAUUGACGCUGAGGUGCGAAAGCGUGGGGAGCAAA
Molecule: ribosomal RNA, 426 nt
Filed under: uncultured bacterium
Lineage: Bacteria
Description: bacterial SSU rRNA
Rfam family: Bacterial small subunit ribosomal RNA
Source: RNAcentral